UAGUUGUUUCAGUGAUCGAUGUGAAUUCAUUUUAUUAAGUCGAUCAAGUAGAUUGAUUAUAUUUAUGUUUAGCGCCAUCUGGAGGCUACUAAAUUCGUGUAAAGAAAUGGCACCCUUUUUGAUUUCCAGUGGAUGAAAUCCGUUGAUAUUGGAGGCAUCCUUGUGUAAUGUGGAAGUUAGAUGCACUUUAAGAAGGCAGAAUGAAGGUAUGUAAUGAUGCAAUGUGAUGAAUGUUGUAUAUAAAUGCUGUAAUGAUGCGAUAUUCUAUGAUUAAGUACCUUUCAUUCGCACCUAACUCGUUGUGUACAUUACAUGGAUGUAACUUACAUUGCACAGUAGCCGAGACGGUCGGCUCACAUACCGAAUGUUAUUGUUAUGUAAUGUACACUACGGCAUGCGAAUGAAAGGUACACGUAUGCAAGAAUGUAAACAAAGAUUUGCCUAGUUUGAGUCAAUGUACUAAGAUGAGUACUUAGGGUGCAUAAUAUGAGAAAGUUGUUAUAUGAUUUAUGCAAGUUUAUAUUGAUAGUUAAUAGAUGGUUUAGUUAUAAAGAUACAUGCUGUAAUUAUGAACAGAAGUGAUACAAAGGAUGUAUGUCAGAAGUCUGACUUAAUUCAAUUAAGCAUAUAUGUACUGGUAGUAACAAACAGUUAGAAUUGUGUUUAGUUUAUAUGCAGUACAAGUUAAUGUGUGAGAUAAGGAAAAGAGCUAAAACAAGGGGUUAAUUAGCUGUAAGGUGCAUAUUAUUGAUACGAGUCACCAGGUUUUCUCCAGGCAUAAUAUGUAUAUUCAUGAACUGUUGAUUUAUGAUCCGUUCGAUCUAUUUUCAUUUGUACAGUUUUUACGGAGCAUUUGGAGCAACAAGAGAAUUGGAAUAAUAAAGAAAGACCAAUAAACAAAGUCAAAGAUGCUUCCGCUACAGUAAAAACUUCAUUUACGUCUAGACGUCUCCACGACAACUGAAAGACAGCUAUUACAUCAUGGCUGACACUGAAGGUGAAAGUAGACCCCAUCGUGAACCCAAGCCCACAGAGAAAGGACUACAAUGGCAAGUGGAAAUUAAAUCCAAAGAGUUUGACAGCUGCAUUAAGUCCUGGAAUAGAACCGCAAACAAGUUGCGAGUUUUACUUGGUGAUGAAAGCGAAGCGUCGACAGUACAGGAGACUAGAGAUGCUCUACAAAGUACUGUAGACAAACUGAUAAACACCCAAGAAGAGUUGGCUACACUUAGAGCAACUGCGAAAAUUGAAGACAACAGUGAUGACAAGCUAGAUGAGGUCGAAACAGCACACAACAACAUCAUGAAACAGACUCUUGAUGUAUUGAUAGCCCUUAGACCCUCAUCUCGAACUUCAUCUAAGAAGUCGAAGAAGUCUCAUCCUGUUGAACCGCAGGAGCUACAGGAUUGCCAGGACUGGGUGAACGACAUCCAGGUAAACGACAUCCAGGAAGAAGUUGAAGCAGUAAGUCAAGUUAGUCAACCCAAGUUAGACAGUGUGCAGAACGUUCAAGCUGAGACGAUGAGAUUUCUGGUUGAACAGAUGAGGAUGACGAGGCUUCCUUUACCAGAACCAGCAAUCUUUGCAGGAGAUCCAUUGACUUACCCAGCAUGGAAGCAUGCAUUUGAUGUUCUCAUUGAACAAAGCGGUAUACAGCCUAUGGAUCGUUUCUUCUACUUGCAGAAGUAUCUCAAAGACCAGCCCUUGGAACUUGUGAGAGGAUAUGCACUCAUUGGAGAUGAGAGAGCUUAUCUAGAAGCACUGGCAGCUCUUAAGCAGAGGUAUGGAGACUCUUUCAUUAUAGCAAAUGCUUUCAGAGACAAGCUAGACAGAUGGCCUAAGAUUUCUUUGAAAGAUGCACUUGGUCUAAGAAAGCUAGCUGAUUUUCUCCACCAAUGUGUCACUGCAAUGGAUAGGAUUGGAAAUCUACACCACCUAAACGAUGAGAGGGAGAAUCAGAAGCUCUUAGCCAAAUUGCCAGACUGGCUUGUGAUGAGAUGGUCACGUAAGGUCAUCGGAUGGACAGAGAUGAAAGGUCAGUUUCCUCCCUUUCAAGUAUUUGUGAGGUUCAUAGAUGAAGAGGCUAAGAUAGCAUGUUAUCCAAUCACAUCUCUACACCACCUGAAGCCUGUACCAGAUGUUAGAACUCUCAAUACCAAUGUUACAUCUUCCAAUUCAGACAACAAGAGACAGAGGGAGAGGAGAAAUAUUCAACGCUCCUGCUACCUGUGUAAGAAGGAUCACCUCCUAGAAGAAUGCAGUGAAUUUGCAGCAAAGGACAUGACAGAUCGUAAAAGGUACAUAAGAGAGAAGGGUCUAUGCUAUGGAUGCUUGAAGGCAGGCCACAUGUCCAUGCAUUGUAGAUGGAGAAGUACCUGUAUCAUUUGUCAAGGGAGACAUCCAUCUUGUCUCCAUGAAGAUAGGAAGAAACCAGAACCAAAGACGGAGACAAAUGUAGAAGACAGACCCAUGGAAACUCAGACGUCAUGGUCUCAUGCUUCAUUUAGUCAGCAACCUACCGGUACUAGUAGAUUGACCACCAUGAAGAGCACGAUGAUAGUUCCUGUUUGGUUAUCUCAUCCUACCAUAUCAGAUGAACGAAUGGUGUAUGCAUUAAUAGACACCCAAUCUGACACCACUUUCAUGUUAGAGAAAACCAAGGAUGAGAUGAAUCUGCAGGGAGUUCCUGUCAGUCUCCUUCUUUCAACGAUGUCUGCUAUGGAUGAAAGAGUACCAAGUGAACGCAUAGAGGGUCUGACCAUCCGAUCAUUUGAUGGAGAACAACGGAUUGCUCUCCCGACAACCUACACCAGAGGGUUUAUACCAGCAAACCGUGAUCACAUACCCACUCCAGAGAUGGCAAUGAGAAUUCCUCACUUAUCCAAGAUUUCACAUCAUCUCAUGCCCCUGCAAAGUUGUGAAGUUGGUUUAUUGAUUGGAUAUGACUGUGCAAGGGCACUCAUACAAAGAGAUGUCAUCCCUCCUGCUGAUGAUAAUGGUCCGUAUGGUCUAAGGACGGACCUUGGAUGGAGCAUCCUGGGUACUGUGAAGGAAGAUGAACACAAGUAUGCUUAUGAGGAUGAUCCCGUCGGUGUAAGUCAUCGAUUGACAGCCUGUGAGAUUCCUGCUGAGCUAAGGACAGUAAACAAGGAUAUGUUGUUCGCACAUAACACAUCAGUAGAGGAGGAGAUCACCCCUGCAAGAGUGACGAGAUUGAUGGAAGCUGAUUUCCUUGAUAGAAAGGAUGAAGGAGCAGCACAAGCUGUCAAUUCAAGAGAGGUACUGAAGACUGUUCCAGAGGAAGACAGGGUAAAGAAUGUCAGAGAGAUUAACCUGCAUCAUGAUGAUUUACCUCUAGAGCGAGCUCUUGGUGUACAAGGGUGUGUCAAAUCCGAUGCAUUCAACUUCAGAAUCACACUUCAGGACAAGCCCCUAACCAGGCGAGGGAUACUUUCCACAGUCAUGUCUAUUUAUGACCCCUUAGGACUGUUGGCACCAGUUAUGCUUAUAGGGAAGCAGAUUCUCCAGACAUUGUGUAAGCUGACAGCAGACUGGGAUGAUCUGCUUCCAGAUGUUCUGCGAGAAAGAUGGAAGAAAUGGAGAAUAGACAUACUGGAACUUCAAUCACUCUCUAUCCCUAGAUGUUACAAGCCUGCUGAACUCGAGGCCGUGAAGUCGGUACAGUAUCAUCACUUCGCAGAUGCAAGUACAACAGGGUAUGGUCAAUGUGCCUACAUGAGAUUAACUGACGCCGCUAAUAGAGUACAUUGUAAAGACAGGCGUGAUAAGAAAGCAAGUGACUACCCAACAACCAAAAGGGGUGUUACUGUGCAGGAUCUUCAUCUAGCAGAGAUUAAAAUUCUAAAGCAUGAUCAGAAGAAAGCCUCUGAAGAUGAAAUUCAGAUCCUGAAAUCUAUCCAGAAGAACCAGAGUCUGCUUGAAAGAAAGAAAAGGCGUCAAAUCAAGAAAGAUAGUCAUCUAGAGCUUGACUACGAAUCAUUCAUUCAAGCACUUCGUCGUUUCACAGCUCUUCAAGCCAAGAGUGCAGCAUCUCAUAAAGUUCUGGAGUUCAGGAAUCGGUGGAAGAAGGAAUUUCUUCUGAACCUGCAAGUCCGACGGAAGUGGACUCACCCACAACCUGAAGCUGAAGUCGGCGACAUUGUCAUUGUGAAGGACGUGAAUGCACCCAGAAACCAGUGGCCACUAGCACGUGUUAUCAGAGUCUUUCCAUCUGAAGAUGGACACAUUCGCAAAGUGAAACUCGCUGUGGGGGACUCCAGAGUAUGUAAUAGCGGUAAGCGUAAGAACCCUCUUCAAGAAUUGGAGCGUCCUAUCCACAAACUAGUGCUUCUGUUACCGCGUGAAGACCAAGAGGAAUUCCCGGCCAAGGAACCCGACAUUUGAUAAUUUCGCGGGGAAUCCAUUUAGUUAGGGUUAAACUUGUUAUUUAAGUAAGACUUUAAGAUUUCUAGUCAAGACUGGAAUUAUUGAAACAACAGGUCUGUGGAUAAGACUAAUUAAUUUACAUUUUCCCCAGAAACGUUUAUUUGAAACGGUCUAGAACGAAGGCUGUUUGCUUCUUCAGGGUCUGCACGUGAGACUAUACAAAUUCAUUUAUUACAGACUCUGCUGCCUGAAUUGAGACUAAUUGAACUGUGAAAAUUGCAAUUGGACAAAUUUUCCAUAAAGACAUAAAACUUUCAUUGUAAACUGCAAUGCAUUUAAAUGUAUGCAUGUGUUGUUAUGUAUUUGUCUAAUAACCAUUUAUUUUCACAUGUCAGUUCUAGUAAUCUCUGAAUCGAUUUAUCAUGCUAAUCCACUGAAAUGUCCAUGUUUAUGUGAUUAAGUGGCUAUCACAUUCCAAAAAGGGGAAUUUAUUUAUUUUUUUUUUUGGCUAAAAAUUGCUAAAUUCCAGAUAUUUGUUGGUAGUAUAGUGGUUAUAUUGCAUUUAUAGCAUUUUUCACCAUGAAGUGAUAUUUAUUUAAAUGUGAACAUUUCUACUUUGAAAACAUAAGCCAUGUUUUUUGUGUUUUCUCAUAGCUACUAAGAUUCAUGCUUACCCGUAAAUGUGAAACUAGUAAAAUAACAUUUCUAUAUAAAGCAUGAAAACAGUGUUUAUCAGUAAUUGCAUUUGGUCUCAUAUUGAGACGAAAAUCUGUUUAAAGAAUUUAAAGGUAUUUUGUUAAAUCCAGUAAGGUAAAUAGCACAGUAUAGGUUUGUUUCAAGCCAGAUACAUUUGUUAUAUAGCUGUUGAAGAAACCUUGUGUAUGGACUUAUUUAAUACAAGCCGAGUCAGUAAUGCUGAUAGAACGGGUAUUUCCCACGUAAAUGUGUUUUAAAGCUAAUACUAUUUGGGGAAUUUUUAUUUGAUGGUUUGAGAUAGUGCAUCAUGUGCCCUAUGUGAGUUUUGAAAAUUAAUCUCAAAACAGAGAUAUAAAUAUAUAAUUUAUAUUGUUGUCAUCGAUAUUGCAAAGGUUAGACAUUUUCAUAAAGAGUGCUGAACUACAUUCAGUAAAUAGGUUAAAAGGGAUAGGUAAUUCCUUGAUAAUGUCAAUCGAUUGUUUGGUAAAUUUUAGAAUAAUUUAAAGGAGCCAUGUUUCAGUGAUCGAUGUGAAUUCAUUUUAUUAAGUCGAUCAAGUAGAUUGAUUAUAUUUAUGUUUAGCGCCAUCUGGAGGCUACUAAAUUCGUGUAAAGAAAUGGCACCCUUUUUGAUUUCCAGUGGAUGAAAUCCGUUGAUAUUGGAGGCAUCCUUGUGUAAUGUGGAAGUUAGAUGCACUUUAAGAAGGCAGAAUGAAGUUUUUACGGAGCAUUUGGAGCAACAAGAGAAUUGGAAUAAUAAAGAAAGACCAAUAAACAAAGUCAAA
This is an RNA transcript of Strongylocentrotus purpuratus (purple sea urchin), 5864 nucleotides long. RefSeq lists it as uncharacterized. The transcript is spliced from 2 exons. The record is from RefSeq and is a predicted model, not a curated record. NCBI's taxonomy places the organism in Eukaryota, Metazoa, Echinodermata, Echinoidea, Camarodonta, Strongylocentrotidae.